This 404-nucleotide ribosomal RNA is filed under the name Actinomycetes bacterium. RNAcentral's name for it is "Actinobacteria bacterium partial 16S ribosomal RNA". It matches the Rfam family "Bacterial small subunit ribosomal RNA", at positions 355 to 776 of the family's 1533-position model. The record is from RNAcentral. Lineage: Bacteria; Bacillati; Actinomycetota; Actinomycetes.
UGGGGAAUAUUGGACAAUGGGCGCAAGCCUGAUCCAGCCAUGCCGCGUGAGUGAUGAAGGCCCUAGGGUUGUAAAGCUCUUUCACCGGUGACGAUAAUGACGGUAACCGGAGAAGAAGCCCCGGCUAACUUCGUGCCAGCAGCCGCGGUAAUACGAAGGGGGCUAGCGUUGUUCGGAUUUACUGGGCGUAAAGCGCACGUAGGCGGACUAUUAAGUCAGGGGUGAAAUCCCGGGGCUCAACCCCGGAACUGCCUUUGAUACUGGUAGUCUUGAGUUCGAGAGAGGUGGGUGGAAUUCCGAGUGUAGAGGUGAAAUUCGUAGAUAUUCGGAGGAACACCAGUGGCGAAGGCGGCUCACUGGCUCGAUACUGACGCUGAGGUGCGAAAGCGUGGGGAGCAAACAGG